AAGAAUUUAAGUUAAUAAAACUAUUGACCUUCAAAGUCAAAAUUAGAAAAAAUUCUAAUUCUUA
RNAcentral lists this transfer RNA (64 nucleotides) under Hylobitelus xiaoi. Its description in RNAcentral is "tRNA-Trp". The record is from RNAcentral. Lineage: Eukaryota; Metazoa; Arthropoda; Insecta; Coleoptera; Curculionidae.